Molecule: long non-coding RNA, 3340 nt
Filed under: Pelobates cultripes (western spadefoot toad)
Lineage: Eukaryota; Metazoa; Chordata; Amphibia; Anura; Pelobatidae
Source: RNAcentral
CAUGCUUCGACACAUCACGGCUGUUUUGGCAGCAUGAGGAGACCUACACAACAUUAGACAGAUGGUUUUAAUUUUGUGGCUGAUCAGUGUAAGUUGGAUAAUAUUUUUAGGUUAAUGCAAUAUAUAUAUGGCUAUUCUUGUCUAAAUUGUACAUUGUAAAUGAAUUAAAAGUUUGCUUUUAAGAAAACAGAGACACAGUCUACAGUAAUGUCUGACUCUCAUAUAGUAUUAAUAGUAUAUAUAAUGUCCUUUAUUUGUGCAUUAAUACACUUUUGAAAAUGCUGUUUGUGUACAUUUCCUGGCCACUAAAAGGAGCAGGACAUUUAAUCUCAUUCCAAGUGAUGGCAGUGUGAUGUGACUAGCAUAGGCGUGCGCUGCCUAUUGCAUUAGGAUGUGCACCCUAAAGCACAAACACACAUCGCGUGUAAAUGUAUGUGUGUGUAUAUAUAUGUGUGUGUGUGUGUGCUGUAUGUGUGUGUGUGCUGUAUGUGUGUGCUGUAUGUGUGUGGGUGCUGCAUGUGUGUGCAUGCUGUAUGUGUGUUCUGUAUGUGUGUGGGUGCUGCAUGUGUGUGCUGUAUGUGUGUGUGUGCUGUAUGUGUGUGUGUGUGUGUAUGUGCUGUAUGUGUGUGCUGUGUGUGCAUGUGUGUGAGGCUGCUGUAUGUGUGUGUGUGUUGUGUGUGUGUGGGUGCUGUAUGUGUGUGUUGUGUGUGGGUGCUGUGUGUGUGUGGGUGCUGUAUGUGUGAAGGUGCUGUAUGUGUGUGCUGUGUGUGUGCUGUAUGUGUGUACUGUAUGUGUGUGUGGGUGCUGUAUGUGUGUGUGUGCUGUGUGUGUGCUGUAUGUGUGCGUGUGCUGUAUGUGUGCUGCAUGUGUAUGCUGUAUGUGUGUGGGUGCUGUGUGUCUGUGUGUGCUGUAUGUGUGUGUGCUGUAUGUGUGUGUGUGUGUGUGUGCUGUGUGUGCUGUAUGUGUGUAGGUGCUGUAUGUGUGUGUGUGCUGUGUGUGUGGGUGCUGUAUGUGUGUGUUGUGUGUGGGUGCUGUGUGCUGUGUGUGUGUGUGCUGUAUGUGUGAAGGUGCUGUAUGUGUGUGCUGUGUGUGCUGUAUGUGUGUGCUGUAUGUGUGUGAGGGUGCUGUAUGUGUGUGAGGGUGCUGUGUGUGUGCGCUGUGUGUGUGUGUGCUGUAUGUGUGAAGGUGCUGUAUGUAUGUGCGCUGUGUGUGUGUGGUGUAUGUGUGUGAGGGUGCUGUAUGCGUGUGUGUGCUGUGUGUGUGUGUGGGUGCUGUAUGUAUGUGUGUGCUGUAUGUGUGUGAGGGUGCUGUAUGUGUGUGUGUGCUGUAUGUGUGUGUGUGGUGUAUGUGUGUGAGGGUGCUGUGUGUGUAUGGGUGCUGUAUGUGUGUGUGUGCUGUAUGUGUGUGUGUUGUGUGUGUGGGGGUGCUGUUUGUGUGUGUGUGCUGUAUGUGUGUGCGGGUGCUGUAUGUGUGUGGGUGCUGUGUGUGUGUGGGUGCUGUAUGUGAAGGUGCUGUAUGUGUGUUUGUGUGUGUGCUGUAUGUGCUGUAUGUGUGUGAGGGUGCUGUGUGUGUGGGUGCUGUAUGUGUGUGCUGUGUGUGUGGUGUAUGUGUGUGAGGGUGCUGUAUGUGUGUGUGUGCUGUAUGUGUGUGGGUGCUGUAUGUGUGCGGUGUUGUAUGUGUGUGUGUGCUGUAUGUGUGUGCUGUAUGUGUGUGGGUGCUGUGUGUCUGUGUGUGCUGUAUGUAUGUGUGUGUGCUGUGUGUCUGUGUGUGCUGUAUGUGUGUAAGUGCUGUAUGUGUGUGUGUGCUGUGUGUGUGGGUGUGUGUGCUGUAUGUGUGUGGGUGAUUGUGGGGGGUGGAGGUGGGGGUACAUUACUUAAUAUCCCCCCUCCCUUCUUACCUUAUGUAGGGAGGGGGGAUUCUUGUUCCUGCUGCUUUCCCUGGUGGUCCAGUGGAGAGUGAACUCUAGCCUCAUGAGAACGCUCAGAACUCGCGAGAGGAACCCAGCGGAGCUGCUGGUUGAGCUGCCCGGGUCCUCUCCUGCAUCCCUCCCUGCUGCUGUGGGGAGGGAGGCUUAGAGCAGAGCCGGCGCUCGGAUAGCGCCGGCUCUGCAUGAGCCGACAGGGGAUAUCCUGAUCUGUAUGAUUAGGUUCUACCUCACUGCAGUCUCAGUGAUUUUCAGUUAAUUUGAAAGAUGUGAAUUGCAUUUGAUAUCUGGGUUUUGACAUUUCAGAUUAUGAUCACUUUGCAACAGAACACAAAAUUUGGGAAAGAACAGUCCAAAUACGGCAUUCGUCCUGAUGGAGUUAAACAUGAAUUCAUUAUUAGAAAGUUCCACGUUGUCCUGUAAACAAGAUGUAGCUUUUUUUAAUUAAACGCUUACAUAAGAUAGAGGCCAAUUAUUUGGGAGUGACUCUGCAUGUUCAUUUUUUAAGUACUAAGUUGCACGAAGGUCUAGGAUGUGGAGAUUAAUAUUGCAUCUACAGAACUGGAAGCGACAGCAACAUAUAGUACCUGUAAUUGCGUUUAUUAGUGAAAUGGAUUUCAAAUUAACUGCUAUAUUGUUAUGUCCUAUUUCUUUUAUAUUGCAGUAGUAGAUUUCAUAGUAUGUAGAUAUUCAUUUGGCUUCAGGCCCACUUACAGUUACAGGUUCAAUAAUCCUGGCAUCUCUUGUUCUGUUUAGCUAAUGUCUAGGCUGGAACUGGAAUGGACGAUAAACGUGGAUGGUAGCAUUUAGGUAUAGAUAUAUAUUAUUCUUAUUCUUCUUUUGGUUUGUAGGUGCUUAUGAAAGUAGAAAUUGGGUGCUAGAACACUGUUUAUUAAAGAGGAGACUUCAUAACAACCUAUGUGCAAUAUAUAGUGUCUACCUUUCACUGAUUACAGUCAAUUUUAAUUGAUUUCUAAAAAAAGAUCAGUAACGCCAAAGGAAGCAUUUAAUUCUCCCAUUUACAUUAAAGAUCUGUUUCUUCUCUCCUUUCUCCAGCUCAAGAAAGAGCUCAUGCGGUGGCACAAAAUACAUGGUCUGACUAAAGAUACCUUCUCCUGGAUCCUCUUAUAGUCUUCUCUUGGAGACAGCCAUGGAACAAUCUUAUUGCCACUCACCUACCAAGGAACGACUGUAUGGCAUGAGACUAGCCUCUUUUCCAGAGAGCACGGGCCAUUUUUGGCAUUCGCUUUAGCUGACUUAUGUGGUCCUGAAUCAACACCCUGUAUUUACCCAUAAAGAGGAGUUUAAAGUUGUUGGAACAUUCUGCUUUGUCUGGACAAAUGUAUUCUGUCAAAUGUAUUCUGUAUUCCCCCUACCAUUUUAUUGUGCUUUCAGCAUGAUGUGCCACUACUGUUC